CCUACGGGAGGCAGCAGUAGGGAAUAUUGCUCAAUGGGGGAAACCCUGAAGCAGCAACGCCGCGUGGAGGAUGAAGGUUUUCGGAUUGUAAAGUCCUUUUGUUAGAGAAGAUAAUGACGGUAUCUAACGAAUAAGAACCGGCUAACUACGUACCAGAAGCCGCGGUAAUACGAAGGGUCCAAGCGUUACUCGGAAUAACUGGGCGUAAAGGGCGCGUAGGCGGGAUAGCAAGUCAGAUGUGAAAUCCUAUGGCUUAACCACAGUACUGCCUUUGAAACUGGGAUGCUAGAGUAUGGGAGAGGUAGGUGGAAUUCUAGGUGUAGCGGUAAAAUCCGUAGAUAUCAAGAAGAAGACCCAUGGCGAAGGCGACCUGCUAGAUCAUAACUGACGCUGAUGCGCGAAAGCGUGGGGAGCAAACAGGAUUAGAUACCCUGGUAGUC
Molecule: ribosomal RNA, 440 nt
Filed under: uncultured bacterium
Lineage: Bacteria
Description: partial 16S ribosomal RNA
Rfam family: Bacterial small subunit ribosomal RNA
Source: RNAcentral